This 492-nucleotide ribosomal RNA is filed under the name uncultured bacterium. RNAcentral's name for it is "partial 16S ribosomal RNA". It matches the Rfam family "Bacterial small subunit ribosomal RNA", at positions 29 to 507 of the family's 1533-position model. The record is from RNAcentral.
AGUGAACGCUGGCGGUAGGCCUAACACAUGCAAGUCGAACGGCAGCACAGUAAGAGCUUGCUCUUACGGGUGGCGAGUGGCGGACGGGUGAGGAAUACAUCGGAAUCUACUAUUUCGUGGGGGAUAACGUAGGGAAACUUACGCUAAUACCGCAUACGACCUACGGGUGAAAGCAGGAGAUCUUCGGACCUUGCGCGAUUGAAUGAGUCGAUGUCGGAUUAGCUAGUUGGCGGGGUAAAGGCCCACCAAGGCGACGAUCCGUAGCUGGUCUGAGAGGAUGAUCGGCCACACUGGAACUGAGACACGGUCCAGACUCCUACGGGAGGCAGCAGUGGGGAAUAUUGGACAAUGGGCGCAAGCCUGAUCCAGCCAUACCGCGUGGGUGAAGAAGGCCUUCGGGUUGUAAAGCCCUUUUGUUGGGAAAGAAAAGCAGCAGGUUAAUACCCCGCUGUUCUGACGGUACCCAAAGAAUAAGCACCGGCUAACUUCGUG